AACGAACGCUGGCGGCAGGCUUAACACAUGCAAGUCGAACGCCCCGCAAGGGGAGUGGCAGACGGGUGAGUAACGCGUGGGAAUCUACCUAGUUCUACGGAACAACACGGGGAAACUUGUGCUAAUACCGUAUACGCCCUACGGGGGAAAGAUUUAUCGGAAUUAGAUGAGCCCGCGUAAGAUUAGCUAGUUGGUGGGGU
This 200-nucleotide ribosomal RNA is filed under the name uncultured bacterium. Its description in RNAcentral is "partial 16S ribosomal RNA". It matches the Rfam family "Bacterial small subunit ribosomal RNA", at positions 29 to 258 of the family's 1533-position model. The record is from RNAcentral.